GACACCAGCCCGGUGGCAGCAGGACCUUCCCAGCUGACAAGGUGGCCUUUCUUUGCACCUGGCAGGGACCAGCAUCCUCAGAUAUCUGAGAGAUAAGUAGAGGGAUAAGACCCACAGAGCUUCAGAUGGAUUAAAUCUGUGCCAGAGGGCCCCAUCCCGUUGAGGGGAUUGCCCCGAGCAGGAAGUAACUCUGGAUACCAGCAGCCAAGGUCAUCAGUGGAGAGAAGUGGUUGUUAUUGCUCAGCUCUCAAGCACAACAAUUUUUCAGCACAUUCAUCGUGUCACAAGAGGCAUCCGCCCAGUGUCAAGGAUGAUGUUUGAGAUUGAGGCUUCAGGUACCACUCCUAAUGAAGGCCACAUCCUUGGAAUCAGGAUGAAGCUGGAGCCUGAAGAAGCCAGGCACACUCAGGAAAGGGCAAGUAGCUGACUUGCAGGAAUUUGGCCCACAUAAGUCUGAACUCAUACUUUGGUUUUGGUUUUCUUUAUUGUAGCUGACUGGGAGGCUAACAGGCGCUCACGGGGCCCUCUGUGGCCGACUCAUUUCAGGUGCAAUGUGGAUUCCCCUCACCGAUCAUCCAAAAGAUAAGUUGGGGGCCAUGGCCUGGAGAUGGGAGCGUAGCAGAUUGGGAGUUCUUGGGAGAGAGUUAAAAAUCAGCAGAGGGAAAAGCAAUCUUGUCCAAGGGCCUGUUAGGACAGCUAAAGGGAGAGGCUGUACUUUUGAUGGCAGCUUUCAGGCGGGCAGUGCAGAACAGCUCCGGUCUGUUUCCUGUUGUCUGGUGUACUGUGUUCCCUAGUGUGUCUUUGGGGUCCCUUUUGCUUUUUCCCCUCAAGGCCCUCACCACAAGCAUGAUGUGUUGUGUUUGGUGUCCCCCUGUUUGUCACGUUCUGUGUCACGGGUGUCUGCGGGUAUUUGUGCCGGAGCUGUUCUGCCCUGCUGCAUGGCCUGCUGCAAUGGGACAAGCCUGGGGAGUUGAAAUUUGAAUGUGGGCUGUACUUGGGCUCUAGGUGCUAUUCCUAGGUUGACAUAAGGUGUUUCCAGCUUGAAAGUUAAAGUUAUUGCGGAGGUGUUUGACAUAUGUUCUAACUUUCUUUCAGGUGUGGAUGCAUUGCAUCCAUGGCAGAGGGUCAGGGUUAGGAGGUGCUGGGCAUUCCUAGGAGCAUGCGGUCUGAGAGACACCAGCCCGGUGCCAGCAGGACCUUCCCAGGUGACGAGGUGGCCUGUCUUUGCACCUGUCACAGGCAUCCCCUGAUGUCUGAGAGAUAAGCAGAGGGCUGCAACCCACAGAGGGGGUGAACGUAGGGUGCUUUGUCAGGACUCCCUGAGGUGGGGGUCUGAGUUGGCUCUGGCAAUGAGGUUAGCCAAGAUGUUGCCCCUUAGGCCCCAUAAAAGCAAAGUCUCCCUUUUGAUCACAGUGCUGAGGUUCGCAGCAGGGCAGAGCAGUCCCGGUGUGUCUCGCGUCACUUGUCUUUUGUGUAUUGUGUGUUGCCUGGAUAUCUCAUGUCUCUUAUCUUAGCCCUGUGAGGGGCCUCUCAGAAAUCUUUCCUAGCAUCCGUGAUCUCAGCGUUCCUCGCCCUGGCACCCAUGCCAUAGAACUUUUGACUGGGGAGCUCACACAGGCAUCAGAAAUGCAUCUCUCUUUAGAAGCGUCCAGUCAGAUGUCUUGUCAUGUCUUGUUCUGAGCUGUACAGACAGCCAUGCUGCGCAAUGAUCCAUUAUAGCAGAGUAGGACUUGUAAGGAUGUGAGGUUAGG
Melospiza melodia melodia is the source of this 1751-nucleotide long non-coding RNA. RefSeq lists it as uncharacterized. NCBI's taxonomy places the organism in Eukaryota, Metazoa, Chordata, Aves, Passeriformes, Passerellidae. The record is from RefSeq and is a predicted model, not a curated record. The transcript is spliced from 5 exons.